Molecule: ribosomal RNA, 301 nt
Filed under: uncultured bacterium
Lineage: Bacteria
Description: partial 16S ribosomal RNA
Rfam family: Bacterial small subunit ribosomal RNA
Source: RNAcentral
CAGCCGCCGCGGGAAUACGGAGGGUGCAAGCGUUAAUCGGAAUUACUGGGCGUAAAGCGCACGCAGGCGGUCUGACAAGUCAGAUGUGAAAUCCCCGGGCUUAACCUGGGAACUGCAUUUGAAACUGUCAGACUGGAGUCUUGUAGAGGGGGGUAGAAUUCCAGGUGUAGCGGUGAAAUGCGUAGAGAUCUGGAGGAAUACCGGUGGCGAAGGCGGCCCCCUGGACAAAGACUGACGCUCAGGUGCGAAAGCGUGGGGAGCAAACAGGAUUAGAUACCCCUGUAGUCCCUGUCUCUUAUAC